UUUUUUUUUUGAUUUGAUCUUUGUACUGUUUCUGUGAAUUGUUAGUUAUAGUAACUUUUUCUGCUGUGUAACUGCAACUUGAACUUGAACUUGUUCAUUUUUUUUAGUUAGUUUCUUUUUUGAUUUUUGAGAAUAGUUUCUAAUUCGGUUUGUUAGGAUAUUUUUCUAGGUUGACUCCAGAUUUGGCGCGUUAAUUAUUCAGUUUUUAUGUAUUUUUUUGGAGUGACACCUCUUGUUGAGUAUUGAUUUUUCAGUUUUAUUUUUGUGUUUUUGUUGGUGUAUUAUGUUGAACAAAUUAUUGUGGUUAGUUGUUGUAUUGGAAAUUCUCUACUCACUAGAGUUGUCAAGCAUCAGAAAGUGAUCAGAAUUUUUUCCUUUUUUGUUUCUAAUCUGGUUUUGAAUCUCAAUAAUUUUUUAUUUAUUUUUAUCUGAGGUAGGUGUGUGUGUUUUUACAUAUAUAUGUUAGUUGGAUAAUGUUAUGGUUAUAAAAGGGUAUCCUUUUUAAUUGAGUCGUAUAUAUAAUUUCAAAGCUUUUUUACCUUUAAUAGGCUUCUUUGCUUCUUGGUAAAUUCAUUAUUAGUCUGGUAUUUUCCUUUUAUACAAGUUUUUUUGUUGUCUUGGAUGUAUUCUAUAUUUGAGUAAUUUGUCCUAAUUAGAACUCCCUCCGGAACGAAAUAUAAGCAAAAAAUUUUUGCUUAUAUUUCAUUCCAGAGUAGUAUUUGAUAAGAAAUGUAAAUAUAUUUGAAAAUUAGGUCUGGGGUUUUGUUUAUAUACAUGCUCUUUGUUUUCUGGAUGUUUGAGUAAUUUUCCCAACUACUAUUUGGAUAAACUCAAUCUUUAUUAUUAUGGUUUAUUACAUGCCAACAUAUUCUGUAUAUUGUAUAUUAUGAGUAUUACUCACACACCAUAAAAAUUUAAGAAUCUUUCACUUGUUCAACUUGUAUUAUAUUGACUAAGAGUUUAUAAAGUAUGGACAACCAUAACCUUACAUGCUGGUUUUGUGGGAUAAAGUUAGGCCUCACCUAAAUUUAAAGUUUUGUUUAAGACUUGUUUAUACUUAUCCACUAACUUGUAAUCUCUCACCUCUCUUUUCUUAAUGAUAUCAUCAUCUUUUAUUACCCUAAAGAAUAAAAGACCUGGAUUUUCAGUUCCAUGUUCUUAGAUGUACAUUUCUCAGUGUUGAUAUUAAAUUAUUGCUUGCUACUUGUACAUUUCUUUUCCUUUUAAAAUAUCUGCAUUAAAUAUUUUUAGUCCACUGAUUAUAAUUCGUAGUUUGGUAUUUCUGUUCUCCUUUUGUGCAAUAGCCUCUGCUGCUUUGACGGUCAAGAGGGACUUUGGUUCCCUGCAGAUGUGCCGUAAGCCGGAUUGCUGUACCUAUUGUAAGCACAAAACAAAUGCCAUCCCUAAAAAUGAAGAGCAAAGUAAGUGGAAGCUGUUUGACGGAGAGAAAGGAUCUUCAAAUCUGUCCGAAAUCAAAAGUAAUUUCCAAAAACCCAUGUUCUAAAAUCAUGAUUACUGCUAAAGAUGCAGAGAUGGACGCAACUAUUCAAAAUUGCAUAGAUGGUAAGCGGCUACUUGAGAUGGCUUAAAUUCAAUAUUCCUUUGAUGUUUCUGUUGAUGUAUCGAUGUAAUUUUUUUUCCUUACUAGUGUCUUUAAGAAUGAUUCGUGUUUUAGCUUCAUUUGUUAUUUUCAGUUCUUUUUGCAGCUUUUCAACAUUUAAUAUAUAACAUGCUGCGGAUUUUGAGCUUUUAUUGCUGAUUUUAAGCAAGCCAUAGAAUCUAAAUUGGUGAUUUGCCUAGCUGAUAUUUUGUCUUAAUUUGUUUCUUAAUAUUUUUUUGAUAAGAAAUGGAACUAAAUUACGAAAUCAACCGAGGAAAACUAGUCCCUCGUACAUCAUCUUCUAGCAGAAGUUUCAGAGUAGGAGGAAAAACAUAAAAAAAUACAAUUAAUUAUAAGGAAGAGCGCCUGAGAUUUGCUAACAGGCCAGCACACCGGUUAGCCUCGCGAUACACAUGAAAGACUGAAGUGCUCCAUCCAUGGCGGUGGAGAAUUGAGAUCACCUCUUGGAGAUUUAUCUAUGAUAUACAUGGCUUUUGACAUUCUACUAGAAAAAAAUUAGAACAGGUGUCCAUUAUUACCAUAGAUGUGCCUAAGUUAUGUUCUAGGAGUGUCAAAGGUGUGUUGAAGCCAAGAAAUUGGUUUUUUGGGAUACUCGUCUGAAUUGUCAGAUGAGUGUUGGACACAGAGACACGUCUAAUUUUAGGAGUGUCCGUGCUUUAUAGGUGGGUCAUAAAUUUGUUUGUCUGUCACAAUCAAAAACAUGGAAGGUAAGGUAUAGCUGCUAGUUAUCGGAAUCUCCGGAUUUGAGUUUCCAAAACUGUAGUUGUGCUGGUAUAUAAUUAAAAUACAUCUAUUAGAUCUUUAUUUGGGCUUUAUCUGAAAAUUCUUUUAAUUGUUCAAAUACAGAGUAGAGAAAAUUGUUUUUAUGAUCUUCCUGUAGAAAAAAAAAGCUAUUACUUAAAUCUUUUGGUUGAGUAGAAUGGCCAUGUAUGAUAAGAAGUAGGCCUAUAGAACUGUGUAUCCAUUUUUGGUAGUUUAUUUUCUUUCUUGAUAUAAUUUAUUUUUAUUCUGUGAUAGUAGGUAAUAUCACUUUCCAGUCACAUACAAUCUUGCUUAAUUUAUGACUGUUUAAAUUGAAAUUAUUUUGAUUCCAUGCAUUUGAUAGUUCUUGCUAUUUCUCUAUAGUUUCUUCAAGGACGCUGCCCAACGAUAUUGCAAGUGAUCAAUGUAAUGAUGGCAAAGAAUUUCUGAAUAAUGAAAACUCUGAAUCCCAGCACCAAUUUUCUGUAUGUUCCUCUGUCCUGGGAAGAAUGGUAGAGUUUGGUUAUAUUUGAUUUAAUAAUAUUUAUUUAUUGGAAAUUUACUCUUUUUUUUUUGGUAUCCUACUAAUACCUUGGUAUUAGUCACUGCAAUGAUCAAGACAACUAUUGUUAGUCACAAAUAGCGGAGUCUUGUACUCUUGUUUAAUAUGACCCUUCACAAAUAUUAUUCUGUAAUUAAUGCAUUCACAAUUUGCUAGGCCAUGUCUCUCUUAAAUGGCCUUAUUACAGUCCUACCUUAGGACACAUAUACAAGCAAAACAUAAGCCACACCAAUGUAUGACAUAAAAACAUAUGCAAAUUAAUUCAACCUUAUUAAUUUUCUGGAAAACUUAAAAAUGCAAUGGGAUUGAAGAUAUGAUUUCCCCUCAAUUUAUAAUUUUUCCUCAACUUAAAAACUUAAAUCUGAAGGCUAUUUUCUUUAGGAGAUACCAAAUAUCAGGAUUUUAGAACCCGGUCUAUUGUACAUGGUUAUCUGCUUUUUGAAGGUUGCCAAAUCCCAUAGUCAACUAAUUUUGGGCAUACACUUAUAAACGUAUCCAUUAAUGAGUUUUAUAUCUUCUCCUAGAUAAAAGAAAAUUUUCCAUUUUCCAAUUAGAUAGAUGCAUGUAAAUACUUCAAGUAUAAGUUAACUUUUCUGUUGAAACGUUAUUAUAUGCUCUAUACCUGUAUCCAUGACAUUUAAAGUUUGAAGUCUUCUGUGAUGCACAAUUGACACAACUCAUUUUCUUUUUUGUAGGAACUGACCAAUCCCUGUACAGAAAACUUAGAAACAAUAUUUUCUCCUGCUUUUGAGCCCAUUGAAGUCCAUUCACAACAUUAUACUGAAAAAGGUACAGCUAUGAAGAUUCUGUUAUUUGUGUUGUGUGUGUGUUUCAACUUUGCUGCUGGCACUAUGAUAGAACAUGAUUGAAAAUUUUUCAUUUUAUUAAUUUGAAAACAAGAUUUAUUGUGCAACUCUAUUGUUUCUUAGCAAGUUUUGUGAGUUGACAUAUAACCUGAACUUGUGCUAUAUGAUUUUCUUUCCUAUAUGAUGAUUGCGUUGGGAAUUAAAAGAGACUGCCUUAUUAUUCUUCAAAGUUUUUAUUAUUUAAGAUGGCAGGUUAAUAAAAAUAGUUUUUCACAAUCCAAUUUCAUUCUUGUAAAUUCUUUAACAGUUGGGAUCUAUUAAAAUAAAGAGAAGUUUUAACAACUGUUGAAGUUGUGGGAUUUUAGAUAAAAGGAGGAGAGAAAAUAAUAAGGGUUAUUAUUGAUAAUAGCUUUAUGCUAACUUGAUUACAAAAGACUCAAUAUUAAUCUCUAUUUAUAGAGAUAUAUAGACUCAAUCCUAAAUCAGGAACAAAUUGCGGAAUUUUCUUAUUUUAUUUUCUGUUGUCUUUACAAUAAUACAAAGCAGAAUUUAUACAGAUUAGGAGAUUAAGGCUGGGCGCUGAUCUAGCCUAGGAAUUAGGGAAGUUAUUCUCCUCAUAAUUGCUAAUUAAUAAGAUAGGAAAGGCUAUGAAUUAGCUAAUACUAAUCUAUAUUUAAUGGACAUAAAGCUGUCAUAAAACUGUACAAAACAGAAUCUAUUGAUUCUCCUUAAUUAGCGCCAAUCUUCAACACUCCCCCUCAAUCUGGGUGGUAGAUAUCUAUCAUACCCAGAUUGGACCUGAUAGUUUCGUAUGUGUGCCUUGAAAGUGCCUUUUGUUAGAAUGUCUGUUGCUUGUCUGUUUGAUGAGAUGUGGUUAACACUUAUGAUCUCAUGAUCAAUUUUCUCCUUAAUGAAGUGUUUGUCUAUUUCCACAUGCUUUGUUCUAUCAUGGUGAACCGGGUUUUUUGCAAUACUUAUAGCUGCCUUGUUGUCACAAAGUAUUCUCAUAGUGUAGUUAGUAGGAAUUUUGAUCUCAUCCAACAUUCGUUUGACUCUUUGGAAAUCGAGUAGUCAUUGACAUUUGAUCUCUCUUAAUAAAUAAUAUUAUGAGUUAUUCUUCUGUUUAAAAGAAAAUCUUAGGAGGAUUUGAUCUCAUGUAUUUUGGUCUUUAAAAAUAGAUAUUUAACAUACCUCUCAAUAGAUUUCAAAUUUCAAUAUCAAAUAGACAAAAAAUAUUCAUUUUCAAAGUUGGAUUAUGAUUCUAGUGUAACACAAGAAUAUUCAUGUUCCAAGAAAAAAAAAACCAUAAAAAAUUCAUACAGAAAUUAUCAUUCAAAAUCUCAAUUCACACUAGUGACGCAAUUAGACCUUUUAAAAAGAGUAUUCAAUAUGGGAGAACUUUAGUUUUGUUUUGAACAAACCAUGGGAUGUUCCACGUACAAAGCAUGCAAUUAAAAAUAAUUGAGAUGAAAUACUCCACUUGUAAACAUCAUGCUAGUGGAAGAAUUCUAAAUUCAUUCAUGAAAAUAAAAAUUAGUCUAUCGAUUAAACAUGCUUUUCAUUUUCCAAAAUGUUAAGUGUUGCACAACAAAGUGGACCUCCUCGAACUUCACUAACGGCCACAAAAAGAACAAAAAAGAAACUAAAGCUUCGAAGGACCAAACAAUGCACACCAACAAGUUGAAUGGAGUGCGAGUGUGAUUUCCACGCACUGUAUGUUGCGCGUAUGACAGCGCCCCCACCCUGGUGGAGCAAAAAUACCUCUCUUUCCGCGAAACAGCACGUGUCGACGCGUCUUACUGAGCUGGUUUCACGCGCCACGUGGCACUUUAUCAACGGUCGAAGAAAUAGAUCUCAUCCCAGCCGUCAGAAGCACCAUCCAACAGCGCAUACUUACGGACAGAGAGAACCUUCUCUCUCACUUUUCUCUCUGACCCGCGGAACGAAAUUCAAUGAAACUUUAGAGUGAGAAACUAGAGAGAGAAAGGGGUUGGUUCAGUUGCUGCUUACACAGGUAACCUCCUCUCGAAUUUCACUGUGUUUGAGUUGCUUCGUAACAUUGUUCAUCAAAACUACAGCUUCUUUUUUUUUUUUUUUUGAUUUGAUCUUUGUACUGUUUCUGUGAAUUGUUAGUUAUAGUAACUUUUUCUGCUGUGUAACUGCAACUUGAACUUGAACUUGUUCAUUUUUUUUAGUUAGUUUCUUUUUUGAUUUUUGAGAAUAGUUUCUAAUUCGGUUUGUUAGGAUAUUUUUCUAGGUUGACUCCAGAUUUGGCGCGUUAAUUAUUCAGUUUUUAUGUAUUUUUUUGGAGUGACACCUCUUGUUGAGUAUUGAUUUUUCAGUUUUAUUUUUGUGUUUUUGUUGGUGUAUUAUGUUGAACAAAUUAUUGUGGUUAGUUGUUGUAUUGGAAAUUCUCUACUCACUAGAGUUGUCAAGCAUCAGAAAGUGAUCAGAAUUUUUUCCUUUUUUGUUUCUAAUCUGGUUUUGAAUCUCAAUAAUUUUUUAUUUAUUUUUAUCUGAGGUAGGUGUGUGUGUUUUUACAUAUAUAUGUUAGUUGGAUAAUGUUAUGGUUAUAAAAGGGUAUCCUUUUUAAUUGAGUCGUAUAUAUAAUUUCAAAGCUUUUUUACCUUUAAUAGGCUUCUUUGCUUCUUGGUAAAUUCAUUAUUAGUCUGGUAUUUUCCUUUUAUACAAGUUUUUUUGUUGUCUUGGAUGUAUUCUAUAUUUGAGUAAUUUGUCCUAAUUAGAACUCCCUCCGGAACGAAAUAUAAGCAAAAAAUUUUUGCUUAUAUUUCAUUCCAGAGUAGUAUUUGAUAAGAAAUGUAAAUAUAUUUGAAAAUUAGGUCUGGGGUUUUGUUUAUAUACAUGCUCUUUGUUUUCUGGAUGUUUGAGUAAUUUUCCCAACUACUAUUUGGAUAAACUCAAUCUUUAUUAUUAUGGUUUAUUACAUGCCAACAUAUUCUGUAUAUUGUAUAUUAUGAGUAUUACUCACACACCAUAAAAAUUUAAGAAUCUUUCACUUGUUCAACUUGUAUUAUAUUGACUAAGAGUUUAUAAAGUAUGGACAACCAUAACCUUACAUGCUGGUUUUGUGGGAUAAAGUUAGGCCUCACCUAAAUUUAAAGUUUUGUUUAAGACUUGUUUAUACUUAUCCACUAACUUGUAAUCUCUCACCUCUCUUUUCUUAAUGAUAUCAUCAUCUUUUAUUACCCUAAAGAAUAAAAGACCUGGAUUUUCAGUUCCAUGUUCUUAGAUGUACAUUUCUCAGUGUUGAUAUUAAAUUAUUGCUUGCUACUUGUACAUUUCUUUUCCUUUUAAAAUAUCUGCAUUAAAUAUUUUUAGUCCACUGAUUAUAAUUCGUAGUUUGGUAUUUCUGUUCUCCUUUUGUGCAAUAGCCUCUGCUGCUUUGACGGUCAAGAGGGACUUUGGUUCCCUGCAGAUGUGCCGUAAGCCGGAUUGCUGUAC
Molecule: long non-coding RNA, 7192 nt
Filed under: Cicer arietinum (chickpea)
Lineage: Eukaryota; Viridiplantae; Streptophyta; Magnoliopsida; Fabales; Fabaceae
Description: long non-coding RNA (CARI_LNC000214)
Source: RNAcentral